RNAcentral lists this ribosomal RNA (301 nucleotides) under uncultured bacterium. Its description in RNAcentral is "partial 16S ribosomal RNA". It matches the Rfam family "Bacterial small subunit ribosomal RNA", at positions 509 to 807 of the family's 1533-position model. The record is from RNAcentral.
CAGCAGCCGCGGUAAUACGAAGGGGGCUAGCGUUGCUCGGAAUGACUGGGCGUAAAGGGCGCGUAGGCGGAUUGCAUAGUCAGGCGUGAAAUUCCUGGGCUCAACCUGGGGACUGCGUUUGAUACGUGCGAUCUGGAGUUUGGAAGAGGGUCGUGGAAUUCCCAGUGUAGAGGUGAAAUUCGUAGAUAUUGGGAAGAACACCGGUGGCGAAGGCGGCGACCUGGUCCUUGACUGACGCUGAGGCGCGAAAGCGUGGGGAACAAACAGGAUUAGAUACCCCAGUAGUCCCUGUCUCUUAUAC